This 88-nucleotide microRNA precursor is filed under the name Equus asinus (donkey). RNAcentral's name for it is "mir-9014 microRNA precursor family". It matches the Rfam family "mir-9014 microRNA precursor family". RNAcentral also lists the same sequence under 1 other name. The record is from Rfam by way of RNAcentral. Lineage: Eukaryota; Metazoa; Chordata; Mammalia; Perissodactyla; Equidae.
GGAGCCAUGGGGAGGGAUCCCAAUUCAGCCUCAGGAAAAGAAACCUGCCAUGGGAGUCUUGGAGAUUGGCGACUGUCCUAAGGACUUA